GUCAUGCUUUUCAGUCAAAAUUAACUCUGGGGGUAUAACGGUAAUUUUGCACCUAGGGGUAUAACAGUAAUUUUCCAUACAUAGGGGUAUUAUAGUAAUUUAGCUACUUUUAGGGUUUUCAUGCAUAUCCUAACUAUUUACGUACUAUCAGAACACUUACUGCGCAUACUUACCGAAUUGGGCCCGUUGGCCCAUGAACCCGAUCUUUGGCCCAUUAAGCCCAAAUUAUCAAAAUGUACAAAAUCGCGCGUACUGCAGUUUAUUACUUUAGAUUACCAAAUAUACAAACCCAACUAUCUUACGAGCAUUCGCACACUCGCAAAUUCCCAAAAUACCGACUUUUCGGCAUUUCAGCUUUUCGGCUUUUGCCAAUCUAGUCUAUGAGAGGGUGUCAGUUACACACCUGUUUGCGACGAUAUGCUGACGAGAUCCACACACGAACCGCCUACAAUUGGAUUACUAACACGUUAAUCUAACUAUUCAAAUACAAACUACGUAUUAACCCCUUACAAUAUUCGGCCAACCACACCUACAGAUCAUAGUAAGCUUAUAAGAAAUCAAUAAGCAACUCAUUAACAAAUUUUUGUCAAUGUUUACCACAUAAUCAUAAUUUUACUGCAAGCUGUCUUCCUGAGCAACAGUCACUAAAUUAUUUAUAACUGGAGUUACGAAAAUCCAAAUCAAGUUCCGUUAAUUUUCCCUGAAAAUAGACUCAUAUAUCUUCUAUCCAUAAAAUUUUCAGAAUUUUUGGUAUGACCAAUCAAUACCAGAUUUUUCUUAAAGUUUCCCAUGUUUCACUGUUUGACUAAUCUGACCACUCUUCAUUACGAAUCAAAUUUCUCAUUGUACAGAAUUCAAAAUAUGUUCUCGUUUAUUCCAUUUGAAACUAGAAUCAUUAAGCUUUAAUUACAUAAUUUAUGCAGCUUCUAACUCAUCUCCCACAAUUUAUGGUGAUUUUCCAAAGUCACGUUACUGCUGCUGUCCUAAGCAGAUUUAUCACCAAAUCACUCUUUCACCUAACUUGCAUGCUUGUUAUUUAAACAUGUAUAUCACCAAUCAAUCAUUCUCCAUUUCAUCAUUUUAAAGCACAACAUGUUAGCCGAUUUUUCCCCUUAGCAUCUAAGGCACAUGCAUGCUCAUUUGUUUGGCUCAACUUCACCUAUCUUCCAUUUUUCAUCAAAAGAACAUGAAACAACAACCAUUUCCUUCAUUUUAAUUCAUGACUAAAUGCUCACAACACAACUAAAAAUCAAAAUAUACUUCAAGAGUUAAGGUAGAAUCAAGAAGAACUCAUGAACCUCAAAAUAAGAAGCAAGGUACCAAGAACUUACCUUCAAUUUUCCUCCUCCUAAUGACCGAAUACUCAAGAGCUUUCUCCUCUCCUUUCUCUUCUCUAACUUUCAGCUAUGAUGAACAAAGAUGGAUAAAACUUUGUUCUUUUCACCCCUUUUUCUUUUAAUAAAACUUCAUAUUUCAUCCAUUUAAUUCUUUAAUACAAAAGACAUGAAAUUCUUAUCAUGAAACAUUUACCUAACCCAUUAUCAUGAAACAUUUAUCUAACCCAUUAUCAUGGAACAUUUACCUAACCUAUUAUCAUGGAACAUUUACCUAACCUAUUAUCAAUUUGUAUCAAUUUGUACCAUAAAUUAUGGAUAUCAAGUGUACAUUUUGUCUACAACAACAUGAUGGCUGGCCACUUCAUGUAAAAUGGGAGGUUUGUCAUGCAAAUCCUCCUAUUUUGCACUCCUAUAUAUUUGGCCAUUUUAAUUUAGCCUAUAGCAUUUCCAAAACAUUUUCACAUAGGUCCUAUUUCAUAAUUUCACUCCCUUUUUCUUAUGGAACAAAAAUUAACUAAAAUUACCGGGUUCUAUCUUAAGCUUGGGCCUUCUAGAGGCCCACUAACAUAAUUAAACCUAUGCCAACAUUCACAGGAUUCCCGAAAAUUGGGGCGUUACAAUUCUACCCUCCUUAAAGAAAUUUCGUCCUCAAAAUUUACCUAAUCCAAACAGAUUAGGGUAUUGCUGUUGCAUCGUCUCUUCUGGCUCCCAAACUCAGAAGUUUCCCCUUCCUUAACUUGUUGAAAACGAGCGACCAAAGACUCAUCGUUCAACUGUUUUUCCUUAAUCUGAUCCACCCAGGUUGGCCUCACUUGCAACUCAGCCAACAGACUUCCAUUAUCAUAUAGACUCAAACGAGCAAACAUUGCUCUCAGAUCAGAUACAGCUCUACGACUUAGAGCAUCGGCUACCACAUUAGCCUUGCUUAUGUGAUACUUGAUCGAACAGUCAUAAUCCUUAAGCAACUCAAUCCAUCUCCUUUGCCUAAGGUUCAGCUCCUUCUGAGUCAACAAAUACUUAAGACUCUUAUGGUCAGUGUAUAUAAUACACCUUUCUCCGUACAAGUAAUGUCUCCAAAUCUUAAGUGCAAAUAUCACUACUGCCAACUCUAAAUCACGAGUCAAAUAGUUUCCCUCAUGAGGCUUAAGCUAUCGUGAUGCAUAUGAAACCACCUUACCAUCUUGCAUUAACACGCAGCCCAAACCCACGUGUGAUGCGUCACUGUACACAAUAAAAUCAUUCCCAGACUCCGGCUGAAUUAACACAAGUGCUUCAGUCAGAACUUUCUUCAACUUCUCAAAUGCUUCCUGCUGUUUCUUAGUCCAUACAAACGGUACUCCUUUCCUUAUGUGUUUUGUCAGAGGUGCUGCCAUCACAAAAAAAAACCUUCCACAAACCUUCUGUAGUAUCCUGCCAGUCCUAGGAAACUCCGUAUUUCCGACACUGACCUAGGCGGCUUCCUCUCCAAAAUCGCUUCAAUUUUCCGAGGGUCCACCUUAAUCCCCUCAGCAGAGACCGCAUGUCCUAAGAAGGUUACCUCCCUCAACCAAAGUUCAGACUUGCUGAACUUCACAAAGACUUCCUUCUCUCUUAACACUUGCAGCACUAUAUAGAGAUGCUCAUCAUGUUUCACUUUAGUUUCAGAAUAUACUAGGAUAUCGUUAAUAAAUACGACUACGAACUGAUCCAAACAUGGUUGGAACACACGAUUCAUCAGAUCCAUAAACGCUACAGGAGCGUUCGUUAGUCCAAAUGGCAUAACUAGAAACUCGUAAUGACCAUACCGAGUCCUGAAUGCCGUCUUAUGGAUAUCUACCUCCUUGACCCUUAACUGAUGAUAUCCAGAUCGUAGGUCGAUCUUAGAAAAUACAGAAGCCCCUCUAAGCUGGUCAAACAGAUCGUCAAUCCUUGGCAGUGGAUACUUAUUCUUAAUUGUCAAUUUGUUCAACUGGCGAUAAUCAAUGCACAUCCGCAUUGUACCAUCCUUCGGUGCUCUCCAUGGAGACACGCUUGGCCUAAUGAAGCCCCUAUCCAACAACUCUUGAAUUUGUGCCUUUAGCUCCACCAACUUCUUCGGUGCCAUUCUAUACGGUGCGAUAGACACUGGUGCCGUUCUAGGCAAUAAGUCGAUUCCAAACUCCACUUCUCGGUUUGGAGGCAAUCUUGGAAGCUCCUCCAAAAAAACAUCUUGGAACUCCUUUACGGUCUUAACCUUAUCCACUGUCAGUCCCUCCUCUUCUGACUGACUUACAAAUGCCAAAUAGACCUCACAACCUUUCCGAAUCCACUUUUCGGCUCUUAAUGCCGCCAUAUUGGACAAAUAAUCCCUUCUCUCACCUAUCACCAUAACCUCCUCAUCCUUUGUAGUUCUUAACACCAUUCGUUUAGCAGCAUAAUCCAGAGUCGCCUUAUGCUUAACAAGCCAAUCCAUUCCCAGAAUGAGGUCAAACUCUCCGAACGGUAACUCCAUCAGAUCUCCAGGAAAAACCUUGCCUUGAGUUUCUAAGGGUACAUUCCUAUACAGUUUGUCUACCCUAACCGAGUGACCCAAAGGACUUAGUACAUAUACCCCACUCACAAUCUCCUCAGAGCAGUCCAAGUCGUCUAUAAUCCGUUCUGUAGCCUCCAACCAAUAUUCCGCCACAUUUGGGGCUAUACCAGACACGCCCUUAAAGAUCUCCAUUCCGUUAGUCCCGAAGUCAUUCAGAAAUAGAUCCCUAAAUUUCGUUGCCCGAACUUGCUCCGGCAACCCUUUCCAGAACACGAAGCAUUGCCUGUGACAGGGCAACAUCCUCGACAGCCCGAUCAUACGGCCCAUUCUUAUCCGCCGGUGGUGGUUGUGCUACUUCAGUGGGUAUGUGUUCAGAAGACGAAGAUCCAGCUUGAGUACUACCUCGGCCUCCACCACGGCCUCUUCCCCGAGUAGCUUUCGUACUCAUAUCGAUUUAUCUUGAUUACGAAUUUUUAUGCAUCAAUUCAAUAUUCCAGUGUUUAUUACAGAUGUUUUAUGAAUCAGACAGUAAUUCAAAGUUUGUUUUCGCAGAAUCGAAGUCUAGCUACAGUUUCAGUCUCUUAUUAGAUUUUCCUAUGGUUUCAGAAUCAUCCUAUCUAGAGUAUCCUAGUAGGGUUUCAGUACAGACAGAUAAUUCAGGAAAAUAUUCAGAAAAGUUCAGAGUAAUACUUACAGGCUUGGGCCGGAGAUUCGGAAUGCCACUUUCCAAAGAUCUAAAUUUUGAAAAUCGAGUUUUUCGCAUUCUUUAUAAAAUUUUCGCUUUCAAAAAUUUUUGUUCUUGUAAACCCAUUCCACAGCCGAGUUGUUGCAACCUAGGCUUUGAUACCACUAAAUAUAACACCCCAAACCCGGCCCAGAAGUUAUGGGCGGAUCCGGCAUGCCACAUCAAAAACGUUAAAAAAAAAUUUUCAUUCUAAGUCCAGAAAAUCGUACUUGAUGUUCAAAAGAUUAAUUUAUUAAGGGUUAAGGUGAAUGGAAGCUGUGCACCAGGUAGGAAACCGAAAAAGAGGAGGUGAGUCCAUCGGACUGCUUAAGUACCAAACUCCCUUCGAAUCCAAUCCUAGACAUGCAAACCGCCAUUGCCAUACCUUAACGUCAUGUAUAUAUCUAGGAAACCAAUUUGAUUAAGUCCUUUUUAGGAAAAGUGAUUAAUUUUGGAAAAUAUCUUCAUUACGGAAGCUUUGCUUGUUUUCGUGUUAUUUUAAAAUCCAUUACUGUUUUUGAAAACGCGCCCUAAAGCUAUCCAAUUUCAACAGUUAAAUAUAAAUAUUACCUAUCUUAAUAAAACAUAUAAAAUCCAUCAAAAAUAAAUAAGCGGCCUUAUUACAUUUAAAAGCCCAAAACCUCAAACGUAAUUAAAAGGAUGUCCAGUUCACCAGAAGAAAAUCAAACUUUCAGAACCGGUGGCCACUCCGAAUUCCCUCACAGCUCCAAGCCCACUAUGGUUGGGGAUUUCCUGCGUGGAUGAAAAUAAAAGGGGUGAGUUUGGGGAAACUCAGUGUGUAAAUUAACCCAACCAUAGCCUAUAUCAGCUCAAACCACAGAAAUAGAAUAAGUUGGCCUUAGCCCAGAACAGAAUUCAGAAUAAAGCCCAUAGGCCCAUAACAGAACAGAACAGAUAUUACAUGUUUAUGCAGAAACCCAACCAUAUCCAACUGUAUACACCCCCGUACCAACCUUACACCGUGUGGGGAGACAACUCGACCCACCCAACAGCUACACACCACAGAAUUUGCAGCAUGGCUGCCAGAACAGAUAAUGUGACAGAGUCACCAGAUACAGAUAAUCGUGGUAGAGCCACCAGAACAGAUAUAUGUGGCAGAGCCACCAGAUCAGAUAUUUGUGGCAUAGCCACCAGAACAGAUAUAUGUAGCAGAGCCACCAGAUCAGAUAAUUGUGGCAUAGCCACCAGGGCGCUUCCUCCAUAAUAUAACCCAUGUCCCCAUGCAACAGAUAUAUAAUCAUGGCAUACAUCAUACAGAAUCAGAUCCUCAUGCUUUUCAGUCAAAAUUAACCCUAGGGGUAUAACGGUAUUUUUGCACCUAGGGGUAUAACAGUAAUUUUCCAUACAUAGGGGUAUUAUAGUAAUUUACCUACUUUUAGGGUUUUCAUGCAUAUCCUAACUAUUUACGUACUAUCAGAACACUUACCGCGCAUACUUACCGAAUUGGGCCCGUUGGCCCAUGAACCCGAUCUUUGGCCCAUUAAGCCCAAAUUAUCAAAAUGUACGAAAUUGCGCGUACUGCAGUUUAUUACUUUAGAUUACCAAAUAUACAAACCCAACUAUCUUACGAGCAUUCGCACACUCGCAAAUUCCCAAAAUACCGACUUUUCGGCAUUUCGGCUUUUCGGCUUUUGCCAAUCUAGUCUAUGAGAGGGUGUCAGUUACACACCUGUUUGCGACGAUAUGCUGACGAGAUCCAC
This 6273-nucleotide long non-coding RNA is filed under the name Gossypium barbadense (sea-island cotton). RNAcentral's name for it is "long non-coding RNA (GBAR_LNC012577)". Lineage: Eukaryota; Viridiplantae; Streptophyta; Magnoliopsida; Malvales; Malvaceae. The record is from RNAcentral.